CAGCCGCCGCGGGAAUACGAAGGGUGCAAGCGUUAAUCGGAAUUACUGGGCGUAAAGCGUGCGUAGGCGGUGGGUUAAGUCUGCUGUGAAAUCCCCGGGCUCAACCUGGGAAUGGCAGUGGAUACUGGCUCGCUAGAGUGUGUCAGAGGAUGGUGGAAUUCCCGGUGUAGCGGUGAAAUGCGUAGAGAUCGGGAGGAACAUCAGUGGCGAAGGCGGCCAUCUGGGACAACACUGACGCUGAGGCACGAAAGCGUGGGGAGCAAACAGGAUUAGAUACCCCCGUAGUCCCUGUCUCUUAUAC
RNAcentral lists this ribosomal RNA (301 nucleotides) under uncultured bacterium. RNAcentral describes it as "partial 16S ribosomal RNA". It matches the Rfam family "Bacterial small subunit ribosomal RNA", at positions 509 to 807 of the family's 1533-position model. The record is from RNAcentral.